UACAGAGGUCCCAAGCGUUGUUCGGAUUCACUGGGCGUAAAGGGUGCGUAGGCGGCGGGGAAAGUUCUAGGUGAAAUCUCCAGGCUCAACUUGGAAAAUGCAUCGAAAACUUCCUCGCUCGAGGGCUGCAGAGGAGAUUGGAAUUCUCGGUGUAGCAGUGAAAUGCGUAGAUAUCGAGAGGAACAUCAGUGGCGAAAGCGAAUCGCUGGGCAACAACUGACGCUGAGGCACGAAAGCCAGGGGAGCAAACGGG
Molecule: ribosomal RNA, 253 nt
Filed under: uncultured bacterium
Lineage: Bacteria
Description: partial 16S ribosomal RNA
Rfam family: Bacterial small subunit ribosomal RNA
Source: RNAcentral